This is a non-coding RNA of Salmo salar (Atlantic salmon), 73 nucleotides long. The record is from Rfam. NCBI's taxonomy places the organism in Eukaryota, Metazoa, Chordata, Actinopteri, Salmoniformes, Salmonidae.
GCCGAAAUAGCUCAGUUGGGAUAGCGUUAGACUGAAGAUCAAAAGGGCCCUGGUUAGAGCCUGGGUUUCGGCA